CGCGCACGACCGGAGCCGGCGGCCCCGUCCGGCGUCCCGAGGGCUUGCUCGCGCGGAGGAAGAGGUCGGGCUGGAUAUGGAGAGGGAAUCGACAGGCCUCGCGACGAGGCGCGGGGAUCGAGGAGCGGAACGAAGAGCAGACGCUGCGGAAUCGGAGGACGUCGAUGCAGGUGUCGAGCCGAUCGCCGAUCAUGGAGAGAAUGUCCAUAGGAAGGCUGGACCAUGGGCGCCUUUCGAUUGGAUCCAUGGGAGCUCUCCUGCGUUUUCUGCACAAGCGAUUGCAGAUGUUGCCGGGAGAAGAAGAAGAAGAAGGAAUCGUCGCGCGGAACGAAGAGCUCUCCGCUGUGGAAUUGGGAAUUCUAGGGAUUCUGCGACUCCGGUGAGUUUACUUUUUCCCUU
RNAcentral lists this long non-coding RNA (399 nucleotides) under Eucalyptus grandis. RNAcentral's name for it is "long non-coding RNA (EGRA_LNC000661)". Lineage: Eukaryota; Viridiplantae; Streptophyta; Magnoliopsida; Myrtales; Myrtaceae. The record is from RNAcentral.